Molecule: ribosomal RNA, 433 nt
Filed under: uncultured bacterium
Lineage: Bacteria
Description: partial 16S ribosomal RNA
Rfam family: Bacterial small subunit ribosomal RNA
Source: RNAcentral
AACGAACGCUGGCGGCAUGCCUAACACAUGCAAGUCGAACGAGACGUGCUGGUUUAGGUGCGGGCCGGGGGGUAACCGCGGAGGAACUUGCCUUAGGUACGGGAUAAACCCCUGGAAAGGGUUGUAAUACCGCAGAAGGUCGUGGGGCCAAAGGAGUAAUGCCUCUGGAUGGGGCCGCGUUUGAUUAGCUAGUGGGUAGGGUAAAAGCCUACCAAGAGGACGAUCCCUGGCUGGUCUGAGAGGAUGCUAGGCCACACUGGGAUUGUGACCCGGCCCAGACACCUAGGGAAGGAAGCAGUGGGGAAUAUUGGACAAGGGGCGAAGGCGUACUCAAGAAAUGCCGCGUGAGUGAUGAAGCCCUUAGGGUUGUAACUCUCUUUUACCCGGGAUGAUAAUGACAGUAACGGGAGAAUAAGCUCCGGCUAACUCCGUG